Macaca mulatta (Rhesus monkey) is the source of this 5001-nucleotide long non-coding RNA. RefSeq lists it as uncharacterized. The record is from RefSeq and is a predicted model, not a curated record. NCBI's taxonomy places the organism in Eukaryota, Metazoa, Chordata, Mammalia, Primates, Cercopithecidae.
GCAGGCAGGGUCUGAAGACAGCUUCUCUCGGCCACCGUCAUUCUCUCUCCCACUUCGCUCUUCACUUAUCGCUUCCUCGUUCCAUUUAAACAUUAGAUUCCUUCCAGCAGCGGUGUUUGCGUGAUUUCGAAGAUAAGAACACAGAAGCCCAGGGAAGAUAAGUAACCUCCCAAACAUCGCACAGCAGUACAACAAGCCAUUCUGUUUUGCUUGAACCAGGCCUGAGAGAUUGUUUCUUCAAGGAUCCCUGAGAUUAGAAUCCAAGAUCUGGGACAGAUCAUAUAUCACAGCAGCAAAGAUGGCCCCAGAAGUUCCAUGGACCCUUAUUUCUCAUCAUUUAGAAGAAUAAAGCACCUCUUUCCUCAGUUCCUCUCUUCAGGACUCCCAGUACCACUGCUUCUGGUGACAGCCCAUGGCAGGUGGGGAGGACGUGGAGAUGGAAAGAAUGAGAAGGGCAGGUGAGGCAAACGAGCAGAUGCCCCCUGCAACUGCUGAACUAUUUGCAAACAAAAUCCAUUUAAACUUCUUCUUGGGAUAAUUCACUGUCUUUUUUUUUUUUUUAUUUAAAUUGCUCCAAAGUAGAAAGGAUAGUCCUUUUCAAAGAUAGGAAGUCCAUAAGAGAGUAAAAGUUAAUCCAAUGUAAUAAACUGAAAUAAAAGAUGGGAAAUUGAGGCAGUGUUUUGUAAGUAAUGUAGAUGCUGACAUGUACUAAAAAUAUGAAGUGUUGGCUGUAUCAUGGCCUUCCAAGGUGAGUUUUUAAAAAGUGGUAGUAGUAGCCAGGUACAUUAAAAUACUUAAAAGUUUUGGAGUAAAAUAAAUAAUCUAGAUGUGUUUUCUGGCUCUCAAGCUUGCUCCUGCUGCUUGCUUAUUGGAAUUUUUUUUUUCUUUCUUGUCAUUACUUAAGCAAGGGUCGUAAUCUUUUUGAGUUUUGCUUUCUUCACUUGUCAAAUGAAAUAAUUAGACCUUUCUUGGAUGGUUGAUGCAAGGGUUAGAAGAGAUGAUGCACAUAAAACACAUGCCAGUAUAGUAGAUCCCUUAGUUUUCUAGAGUGAUAUAUAUGCUGAACAUAGGUUCGACUCCCCUUUUCCUUUAUUAGCCAUUUUUUUAAUCACUUGACAGUAUUUAAUGCAAAUGGAAACAAAAGUAGUUUAUCCAAGUAGUACAGAAUAUGAAUAGAAUUGAUAAUAAAUUAUGCUCACUGUAUUUCUGGUAAUGAAAAAGACAAGCAUAUAAAAAAUUAAUUACACUUUGUUAUGUGUCAGAAAUCCAGUAUGAAGGAAAGACAGAACUGGACACCCACUGCGUCACAAUCGCGGUGCGGCAGGCAUUUUGAGAAGAGAGAAUAUUGGGCGUCACAUUGUCACUAUCGUCCUGUCAGUCAUUGGUGACUGGGCCAUAUGAGGCCCUGGAUAGUGCACAGCUGCUCAGCACAGCACCAAACCAAAGGAUGUGGCAGGAUCUCAUGUUUGGACUAAUUUAAAAAAUUCAAAAUAAUAUUUUCCUUCAAUAGUGAAGAAAGGGGCUAAAUUAUAAAAUUUGUACCUUUAGAUUUUGUGUUCACAUUUUGAAGCUAACACACUUCCAUGUGCUCUUAUUUCUCAAAAAUAGGUUACUGGUAGAUUGAAAAAUGUUUUGGAUAUAUCUGAAAAAUAUUUCCUUUUCCUUGCAAAAUGGCGAACCUCUCUUUUAAGCCUAUGGAAAGAACAUUUAAAGGAGAGAAUUCAGUAAGUGUUUAGUUUUAUGCAGCUCUUACUACUUUGGGCCCACAAUGAAAUGACAGGUGAGGGGGUUUCAUCAGAAGAAAUCUCUGUAAGUAUGAUGAAAAACAACAACAAAACUGAAUUAAUUUACACAGCCUAACAACAUGCGAUCAUAAUUUCCCUUGGAUCCGGUUUAUUGUUGGUAAAAUUCAGACAAACCCACAUGUAUAAUUUUAAAGUACAUCUAAAGUAUAUUUUCAUGAAAUGUACAUGGUUGUGUAGUUAAAUGUUUAUGGGAACUUUUCAUUUUUUUGCCAUUCGGCCUGCUUUCAAAAUAUUCAAAUAUAUUUGGCUUUUGUAACUUUGCUAAUUAAACCUUCUAAAACAGAUGGAAUUAUAGAAAUUACAGGGUUUAAAAUAUCAUCUUAAUUGGUUUACGAUCUAUGUGACACGUAGCGCCAUUCAUACUGUAUAAAAUAGAUACGAAUGGCUCAAAGGAGAUGGCAUACCAAUUAAUUUCUUUUUAACUCUUUCAAUUAAAUUUUGUUUUCUUCGUUAUUUUCCUCCCUUUUCAUUAGCUUGGCUCGCAGCAAGUCUGAUCAACCCUGACUGUGAAGAUACAGGUUGUAAGCUGAGAUCAUAUUGGAGAGUUUCUUUUGUGACUGAGGGAUAGGGAGAAUCUGAAUUUACCUUCAAUCUAAAGAAAAUAAAUAAUCUUAAGACAAGCUUUAAGUGUGCAUAUGGCUGUCCCCUCAAGUGAUGUGCAGAUUAAUCUUUCUCCUUCUAAUGAUGAUUGCCUUAUGUGUGCAGGCAGCCAUAUUUCUCUGAUUUCCUGGAAUAGUCUUGAUUUAAAUGUCUACCUUACUGUCCCACUAAGAACACUUAGAUUUGUCAGACCGCAUGUUCCGAUUUCUGAGUUGGGAUGUGAUGCUAUAAUCUCCCUACGUAGAAUGUUGGGAGGUUUAAAUAGGCUGCUUCAUGUGUGUCUGUGUACCUUAAGAUCAAGAAUCUGGUUGAAUACAACUCAUCCAGACCUCUAAAGAUUCCAAUUUCGAGGCCAUGAUGAAGGCCUGUUAUAAUAAACCUGCUUUACCCAGCAAAAUAACAUGCGGUUUAAAAAAAAAUACCAUCGUACUAUUUGUUGGCUACUCUUGGCUAUCAAAAUUAAACUCGACUGUUUCUUUCAAAUAUAUCAAUUUGCCAUUUAGAUGUGAUUUUAAACACACUAUUCCCCUCCGUUGCCAUGGUAACAGGUUUGGGCCCUCAUGGGUGACAGAAAAGUACCAGAGUUCUGGUUCCUCUUUGAACACACACGUUCGCUGGGUUUCGCCUUGCAGCCCAAUAAGAGAGGAGGCUUGGAAUCACCACACUUCCCACAGCAAGGGCAAUCUUUAAAGGCAGUAAGGUGUGACGCUCCAGACUGGCAGCUUGGCAAGACAGAGCCCAUGGAUACCAGCACACGGGAAUCUGGACGGCUCACUCUGACAGCAGUCAGCACUGGGAACAAAAGGAAUGGAGGGAAAAAAGCGCAAAUGUAUUUUUACAUAUUGUAGGCAUAUGGCCACAAGACCAGCAGAAAUAUAUUUAAUUACCAAUUGCACGCGUUGAGGAGAAAAACAUUGGAAACGGGGAAAAAAACUGUAUACACAGCAAUAUUAUUCUAAUUUAACUUUUCACCUCAGUUUUUUUUUUUUCUUUCUUUCUUUAAUUGAAGAUGGAAGGGAAUGUGGGUUGGAAUCACAAAGGGUUAUCUUCUGGAAUUCUAUCAAAGGUGAUGUGGGAUUUUGACAUGCCUUCUUUAACAGCAUAACAUUAUAUAAAGAAAAUAGGAAAGUUUUAAUUAUUUCAAUUAUGAAAUAAUUUGACUAAGGUAUUUUGAGGGAGUGGGGCAGAUCGGAUUUGAAAUAUAACAAUUAGAGAAUCUUACUGUCGUGUUAAAAAUGUACUUUUGAUGUUACACAUUAGUUUAGGCCUCAACAGUUAAUUACUCAAUCUUGAAAAAUUAUAUUCUUGUUCUUUUCUAUGAAAGCAGAACAGUUCAACCCCCAUUUAUUGUCAGGCAUUGAGCUAGCCAAUGGAGGCACAGAGGUGAAUGAGAUAUUGUCAUCCCUGCACUGAAGAAGCAUAGCCUAGGCUGGGAGACAAAUACACGGAUGUAUAAUUAUAAUGUUAUACCAUUAAAUUAUUAAAUGUUAAAAUUAUUAGCUAAAAUCACAAUUAUAAUACAUAUAAUACCAUCUAUAUGAUGCAAUAAUGUAGCUAUAUGAAUCCAGGGGUUAUAGAGGAUUGACUCUUAGUUCAUUCCGGGUGUCAGUCACCCAGGACCAGGCAGGUGACCUCUUCCAGGAAAAGCUGAUGAAAAGGAUCAGUGAGAAAAAGCCUGAGAAGAAGGCAGUUGCAUUUUGCAGAAUGAAAGAGUUUAGGCCAGUGUGAGUCAGUUCCCUUCCUAGGGUGCUGGCUCAGGGAGUCAGGUAAUAGGGCCAGGGAAACGUGUGCCCACUGACUUGGGAAAGAGAGAGAGGCCUGCACCUCCCUCUUGACAGGAAAGAAAACCACAGCCCUGAAAAAGUAACUUGCCAGGAGUCCCCUUCUUUGUAGCAUUCCUAUCACCGACUUCCUGUUAGCCUGGGUCUCCUGUUCUUAUCCUGCUCUUUGAAAUCCUUGGUGGCCAGCGCUGGCUAUGUAGGUGACCUGUGCUCCCUGGUCCCAUGGAGGUUCUGCCCAGCUGACCAGCCUUGCAACCUGUUUCUGUAGCCCAGAUAAUGGUUCAGAGUCAUGUUAAUGUGUGCUUUGCUUUAUGUAGCAAAUAUCAUCUUGAAAAGUUUUUUUGUAAAUUUACUUUUUUUUUUUUUGUAAAGCGACCUACAUAAUAAAAGCACUAGGGGAGCUGGUUAUUUAAAGGAACCCUGUAGUGAACCUUUUCAUAAUGUAGAAGCCAUUCCUUAAUUAAUCUUUUUUUUUUUUUUUUUUCCAUCAGAUAUACCUGUGCCUCUGUGGCUUUUUUUUUUUUUUUUCUAAGAGGAAGCAGCAUAGACUAUAGUGCCAAGUGCAUGAGACUGAGGGCUAGGGCUUCCAGAGUACGUGCUGAACUUCUGCUGGCUGCCACUGGGUUGAGGAUAUGAGCAUGACCUUGGGGUCAGUUCCAUCUUCUGAAAAGGCAGAGUCAAAUGGGCUCAAGCUCAAAUCCGAGUUUUACCAUCCAUCAACUUCAUUUGGCAAUUCAUUUGUUUUCUUUGAAUGUUAGUUCUUUACCCAUGUACUAGGUGGUUACAUACUUCAAAUAAAAAAGUUUCUCCAAGGG